GUAGUUAGCCGGAGCUUCUUCUGCAGGUACCGUCAAUUUCUUCCCUGCUGAAAGCGGUUUACAACCCGAAGGCCUUCAUCCCGCACGCGGCGUUGCUGCGUCAGGGUUUCCCCCAUUGCGCAAAAUUCCCCACUGCUGCCUCCCGUAGGAGUCUGGACCGUGUCUCAGUUCCAGUGUGGCCGAUCAGCCUCUCAGCUCGGCUACCCAUCGUCGGCUUGGUGGGCUGUUAUCUCACCAACUACCUAAUGGGACGCGAACCCCUCUUAUAGCGAUAAAUCUUUGACCUCUGUACCAUGCGGCACUGUGGUCUUAUGCGGUAUUAGCACUUGUUUCCAGGUGUUAUUCCCCACUAUAAGGCAGGUUGUUCACGCGUUACUCACCCGUUCGCCACUAGAAUACUGUGUCUUCCAUCCGAAAACUUCAAACUCAAUAUCCCCGUUCGACUUGCAUGUGUUAGGCGCGCCGCCAGCGUUCGUCCUGAACCACGAUCAAUUCUAGA
This 499-nucleotide ribosomal RNA is filed under the name uncultured bacterium. RNAcentral describes it as "partial 16S ribosomal RNA". The record is from RNAcentral.